GAAUCCGCCAAGGAGUGUGUAACAACUCACCUGCCGAAUGAAUUAGCCCUGAAAAUGGAUGGCGCUGAAGCGGGCAGCCGACACCGCGCCGUUCCGGCGAGACGAUGCCGGGAUGAGUAGGAGGGCGUGGCGGUCAGUGACGCAGGCGAGGGUGCAGACCCCGCUGAAACGGCCGCUAGUGCAGAUCUUGGUGGUAGUAGCAAAUAUUCAAGCGAGAUCCUUGAAGGGCGAAGCGGGGAAGGGUUCCACGCAAACAUUGAUUGGGCGUGGGUGAGUCGUUCCUAAGCCGAGUGGCAAUUGCUAAGUAGCGGCGAAAGGGAAGCGGGUUAAAAUUCCCGCACACGGAUAUGGAGGCGGCGACGCAAGCAGAGGCAAAUACGCUGGCGAGGGCGCUGGGCAGAGUUUUCUUUUCUGUUUGACCGGCAUCGCGCUGUGUGGAAUCCGCUUAUCGGGAGAAACACGCGCGGGGAGGGGCAGAGCGUCAGGUCUUUUCUGGCGUCCGGCUCGCCCUCGACGGCCCUUGAAAAUUUGCCCGCGAACACUAAAUUUCAUGCUGUGACGUACCGAUAACCGCAUCAGGUCCCCAAGGUGAACAGCCUCUGCUCAAUAUGAACAAUGCAGGUAAGGGAAGUCGGCA
Molecule: ribosomal RNA, 637 nt
Filed under: Liagora sp. ARS-2011
Lineage: Eukaryota; Rhodophyta; Florideophyceae; Nemaliales; Liagoraceae
Description: eukaryotic LSU rRNA
Rfam family: Eukaryotic large subunit ribosomal RNA
Source: RNAcentral